This 73-nucleotide transfer RNA is filed under the name Camelus bactrianus (Bactrian camel). It matches the Rfam family "tRNA". From Rfam's summary of the family: Transfer RNA (tRNA) molecules are approximately 80 nucleotides in length. Their secondary structure includes four short double-helical elements and three loops (D, anti-codon, and T loops). Further hydrogen bonds mediate the characteristic L-shaped molecular structure. tRNAs have two regions of fundamental functional importance: the anti-codon, which is responsible for specific mRNA codon recognition, and the 3' end, to which the tRNAs corresponding amino acid is attached (by aminoacyl-tRNA synthetases). tRNAs cope with the degeneracy of the genetic code in two manners: having more than one tRNA (with a specific anti-codon) for a particular amino acid; and 'wobble' base-pairing, i.e. permitting non-standard base-pairing at the 3rd anti-codon position. Lineage: Eukaryota; Metazoa; Chordata; Mammalia; Artiodactyla; Camelidae. The record is from Rfam by way of RNAcentral. RNAcentral also lists the same sequence under 2 other names.
GUGGGUAUAACUCAAGGGGUAGAGCCCAUGCUUAGCAUGCAUGAGGCCCUGGGUUCAAUCCCCAGUACCUCCU